This 72-nucleotide non-coding RNA is filed under the name Acyrthosiphon pisum (pea aphid). The record is from RNAcentral. Lineage: Eukaryota; Metazoa; Arthropoda; Insecta; Hemiptera; Aphididae.
CGGGGACGAGGAAAGCCCACCUUGCCGUGGUGUCCCCGCCCGGCUGACCUUCGGUCGGCCGCUAAGAGGCUU